AUCCAGCUGACAAGUCCCAAAUAGGAUGAAACACGCGUCAAACUGGAU
Non-coding RNA from Schistosoma rodhaini, 48 nucleotides. NCBI's taxonomy places the organism in Eukaryota, Metazoa, Platyhelminthes, Trematoda, Strigeidida, Schistosomatidae. The record is from Rfam.